Molecule: transfer RNA, 85 nt
Filed under: Nitrososphaerales archaeon
Lineage: Archaea; Thermoproteati; Nitrososphaerota; Nitrososphaeria; Nitrososphaerales
Description: tRNA-Ser
Rfam family: tRNA
About the family: Transfer RNA (tRNA) molecules are approximately 80 nucleotides in length.
Source: RNAcentral
GGGUGCCCUAGCCUGGUAGGGGGCAGGCCUGCUAAGUCUGUGGCCCGUAUGGGCCGCACGGGUUCAAAUCCCGUCCCCGGCGCCA